CACAGUGCUCUUGCCAACAUCUUUCCACUCUUGUUCCCAUAUUCAUAGAAGGCUUUUUUAGUGAGACGAAACUGGAAAUGGAUUUUUGACGUUAGGCAAGAGCUAAGUUGCGCCGUGGCCUCCAGGAGUCGUUUGUAGGUAUCUUCGUUUAGAUCAGUUUUAUGCUGGUUUUCCGAGUGGGAUAGUCGGUCAGUCAGGUGUAAAAUUUCC
Pelobates cultripes (western spadefoot toad) is the source of this 210-nucleotide non-coding RNA. NCBI's taxonomy places the organism in Eukaryota, Metazoa, Chordata, Amphibia, Anura, Pelobatidae. The record is from the annotation of a GenBank genome assembly.